UACGUAGGGGGCAAGCGUUGUCCGGAGUUACUGGGCGUAAAGCGUGCGCAGGCGGUUGUGUAAGACAGAUGUGAAAUCCCCGGGCUUAACCUGGGAACUGCAUUUGUGACUGCAUCGCUGGAGUGCGGCAGAGGGGGGAUGGAAUUCCGCGUGUAGCAGUGAAAUGCGUAGAUAUGCGGAGGAACACCGAUGGCGAAGGCAAUCCCCUGGGCCUGCACUGACGCUCAUGCACGAAAGCGUGGGGAGCAAACAGG
This 254-nucleotide ribosomal RNA is filed under the name uncultured bacterium. RNAcentral's name for it is "partial 16S ribosomal RNA". It matches the Rfam family "Bacterial small subunit ribosomal RNA", at positions 524 to 776 of the family's 1533-position model. The record is from RNAcentral.